RNAcentral lists this ribosomal RNA (493 nucleotides) under uncultured bacterium. RNAcentral's name for it is "partial 16S ribosomal RNA". It matches the Rfam family "Bacterial small subunit ribosomal RNA", at positions 29 to 507 of the family's 1533-position model. The record is from RNAcentral.
ACGAACGCUGGCGGCGUGCUUAACACAUGCAAGUCGAACGGUGAAGCGCCUUCCUUUUUGGUGGGUGUGGAUGAGUGGCGAACGGGUGAGUAACACGUGAGUAACCUGCCCCCUUCUUCUGGAUAACCGCAUGAAAGUGUGGCUAAUACGGGAUAUUCUGGGUCUGUCGCAUGAUGGGUCUGGGAAAGAUAUUGUUUCGGUGGGGGAUGGGCUCGCGGCCUAUCAGCUUGUUGGUGGGGUGAUGGCCUACCAAGGCGGUGACGGGUAGCCGGCCUGAGAGGGUGGACGGUCACACUGGGACUGAGACACGGCCCAGACUCAUACGGGAGGCAGCAGUGGGGAAUAUUGCACAAUGGGCGCAAGCCUGAUGCAGCGACGCCGCGGGAGGGAUGGAGGCCUUCGGGUUGUGAACCUCUUUCGCCAGUGAAGCAGGCCUGCCUCGUUUGUGGGUGGGUUGACGGUAGCUGGAUAAGAAGCGCCGGCUAACUACGUG